GGGGGAAGGAAUUUGUUUACAUAACUAGCGUAUCAGUAAUAAUAAAACGCUAAAUUAAUAAAAUUAUUGGACUUCUGUACUAUUUAACUGGAAUGACCGUUUAAUAAAAUUUCUUUGUAUGAGAUGGAAAAUCGCUCUCUAGCUCUAAGGCAUGUCUCUGAAGCCUUGCAGUUGGAUAGUAAUGGUUUCCAUCAAGCUGCAUUUGCUAAAUAUUUACAGAGUCUCCACAUUCUGACUACAUAUUUAAAUGAUUUAUUCAUUGCCUUAGGUAAGUAUUAAAUCAGUAAUUCACUUUCAGAUUUGAGAAGACAGUAGCUAUGUUAUUUUGUGUGUAUUUAGAAAUGUUUCAAGUCUGAAAUUAUUUUGCUGUGUGGUCCAUUCAUGUUGUAAUAAUACUAAACCUGCUGGCUUUGUUUUUUCACCAUAUGAAGAAAUUUUGGCUAAUCUUUGGAAUAUGGUAACGGGUAGUUUGGCGACAUU
Molecule: long non-coding RNA, 480 nt
Organism: Stegodyphus dumicola
Lineage: Eukaryota; Metazoa; Arthropoda; Arachnida; Araneae; Eresidae
Source: RefSeq, a predicted model, not a curated record